UUGCACAAACGGGCUCCAGCGUAGAUGAAAGAACCAGAAGAGUAUCGAACAAUCCACCCACAUUCUCCCCGGUUGAUUUUGCGCGUCAAUCCAAUAAGCAUCAACAUUUGAUUUUCAGUGCUCUUCUGGAGGGGCCUUCCGCCUGCUCAGACUCGCGUGAUUCUUUGAUCUCGUUGAUACUAGAGCAUGAUGCAGUCAAAGCCAAUCAUAACAUCAUCCGUUAUCAGUUUGCUUGGCACAAAAGUUGCAGGGGAGAUCACGGAGUCGAGAUAUCUUUCAAGUCUAUUAGCCAAAGUUUUUGUAAUCAUCUUGUAAAGAAAGCUUCAUAAGUCGAGUAACCUCAAGUGGUUAGGAGGUUUCCAAAUGCUUCUACUCCUUUUGUUCUAUGAAUCCAUCUAAAUACUUUCUGAGA
Molecule: non-coding RNA, 412 nt
Organism: Cucurbita pepo subsp. pepo (vegetable marrow)
Lineage: Eukaryota; Viridiplantae; Streptophyta; Magnoliopsida; Cucurbitales; Cucurbitaceae
Source: RefSeq, a predicted model, not a curated record